GCCUGGCUAGCUCAAUCGGUAGAGCGUGAGACUCUUACUUAAAAGUGAUCUCAAGGCUGUGGGUUCAAGCCCCACGUCGGGCU
RNAcentral lists this transfer RNA (83 nucleotides) under Yarrowia lipolytica. It matches the Rfam family "tRNA". From Rfam's summary of the family: Transfer RNA (tRNA) molecules are approximately 80 nucleotides in length. Their secondary structure includes four short double-helical elements and three loops (D, anti-codon, and T loops). The record is from RNAcentral. Lineage: Eukaryota; Fungi; Ascomycota; Dipodascomycetes; Dipodascales. RNAcentral also lists the same sequence under 1 other name.